Non-coding RNA from Xyrichtys novacula (pearly razorfish), 1325 nucleotides. The record is from the annotation of a GenBank genome assembly. NCBI's taxonomy places the organism in Eukaryota, Metazoa, Chordata, Actinopteri, Labriformes, Labridae.
GGACUCUUUUUCAUUUUGGUUUUCUUUAGGAAAAGGACCUCAAUUAAGAAGAAACCCCCAGAGGAGCCAAGCAGGAGACUGAAGACGCAGGAGGACUGAGCAUACGAGAGACAGGCCCAUGAAGACAAGAUGAAUGACGGGGAUAGGUACUGAGUGUUUCUGGAUAUUUGAAGGUAAAUAACUCUAUCAAUACUUAAAAGGUUAAUAAGUACAAUAUGCUGGCUUUUAAGAAAAAAUACACAUUUUCACAGUAACUGAAGGGCUGUAAUUCAUGUUUGUUUUCAGGUAACUCCAAAGAGUCAAACACCCAAAAUGACUCUAGAGGAGCCCAAAGAUGACGACCAACCCUGUGAUGAACAAGCCGACAUGAAGAAAUAAAGUAAGUAAAGCUUGAUGAAUGUGUCUUAUAUCAUCAAACUGUUGUCUUGGUGUGCUGCUCUAUUGACCUACUUAAGAUGAACUUUUAGUUAGUAUGCUAUUGUGUAGGUUUACAUUAGGCUACAUAAUUAACACUUGCAGUAAUUUAUUUGCUAAAUGAUAAACAGGCAAUUCCCAAUUCCCUACAGAAAAAGUAGCCCUGUGCCUUGUUGAAAUAUAACCAAACAGUCUUAUUCAUAUAGUUGGUCUCUUUUUAUUUACCAAUUGCAGCAUCAUGCCUAGAAAGGAGAGGAGAAGAAGGGAAACAGAAAGGGAGUUACAGCAGGCAGCCCAGGGGAGCAGCUCUCUACUCUCCUGGAUAAAAGCAUCCACCAGCAGCAAGGAGGAAGAUGAAGAUAAAAGGUCAGAGUCAAGAGUCAUGUUCACUGUUUAGGGCAUUUUACAGCUCAGAUUUUGAAGUUGAACUGUUCCUCUAAUUUGACUGAAAUAUCUUAAAAGCUGUCUACACAAAGUGGUUUGGUUGUACUAAAUUAGGCAUUAAGCUAUUUUAGCUAAUGAUAUUAUUUUGUACCAACAAGUUAUUUCCAUGUUACAAGACUUGCAGUAAAGUUACCUUUAUAGGCUAUAUUCAACCUUAGAAAAAUAGACUAGUACUAAAACUAUUAUUAUUCUAUUCUAGGCAGCUACAGCAGGGAAGCGGUCGACCAACAACCAGCAAAGAAGCUGAGAUUGAUGAAUCUCCAGAGUCAUCUACGGAUAAAGACGAGUCCAUAGCAGCACCAAGUCUAUGCAGUUACAGAAUCAGAAGUGCUGUCUGAUGACCAAAAUGAGGGAGAACAAGAAAGGCAUGAUGUAGCAGCUGUAUUUCAAAGAAAUGACAUAUUAAACAUUUCUUUUAUUUAUUAAUUUUAUUUUAUUUAUUUAUUUAUUUAUUCAUUUAGAAGUCA